AUGGAACAACCUGAAGGUUUUGUUAUUCCUGGAAAAGAAAAGCUUGUGUGUAAGUUAAAGAAAUCUCUUUAUGGAUUGAAGCCACCCCCUAGACAGUGGUACAAGAGAUUUGACACCUUUAUGCUCUCUCAAGGUUUCAAAAGGUCUAAUUAUGAUAGUUGUGUUUAUUUGAAAACUGUCAAUGGUUCAACUAUUUAUUUGCUCCUUUAUGUUGAUGAUAUGCUAAUUGCUGCAAAGAGUAUGUCAGAGAUUAAUGAACUAAAGAAGCAAUUGAGUAAUGAAUUUGAGAUGAAGGAUUUGGGUCCAUCAAAUAAAAUACUUGGCAUGGUAAUAUCCAGAGAUAGACCGUCUGGAAAAGUAUAUCUAAGUCAGAAGUGA
RNAcentral lists this ribosomal RNA (378 nucleotides) under Triticum aestivum (bread wheat). Its description in RNAcentral is "partial small subunit ribosomal RNA". The record is from RNAcentral. Lineage: Eukaryota; Viridiplantae; Streptophyta; Magnoliopsida; Poales; Poaceae.